RNAcentral lists this long non-coding RNA (536 nucleotides) under Brassica napus (rape). Its description in RNAcentral is "long non-coding RNA (BNAP_LNC001687)". The record is from RNAcentral. Lineage: Eukaryota; Viridiplantae; Streptophyta; Magnoliopsida; Brassicales; Brassicaceae.
AAGUCACAUUGCACAGUUGGGUGACAAAUUCAAUAUCAAUAAGUUAAUUAUGCAAGUGAUUGAAUCGAACAAUAUACAUGGAGUGGAGGCAUAAACAAUUAACUAUGGAGGAAUAAACAAUUAACUAACAAAAAAGUGCAUGAACCCUUACAUUUAAUUCAUUACAAUACAACACAUUUGUAAUUCAUAAAGUUCAUAACAAUACAACACAUUAGUACAUAGUCUCAUAAGGGUUAACAGCAUUAGUACGACUAAGACAAAGAGCAUGACACCAACACAAACUUCCUAAACCAGACUUAGUAAUGCUGUUAACACCAACAUCACUUCCCUCCGAUCACCAGACCAAGUACCACUAAUACAAAGAGCAUGACACCAACACAAACUUCAAACUCAAUUUUUAAAGUAAACGACUUCUUUGCCAAGUCAGAAACUAAGUUCUCUAGCCUAACCACCUUUUCCUCAGACUCAAAGUUACUCAUUAAGGUAAGGUUAUCUACCUUUUCCUCCAACUGCAGAAUGUGUUUAUCCCUCGCCCU